RNAcentral lists this ribosomal RNA (499 nucleotides) under uncultured bacterium. RNAcentral describes it as "bacterial SSU rRNA". It matches the Rfam family "Bacterial small subunit ribosomal RNA", at positions 8 to 526 of the family's 1533-position model. The record is from RNAcentral.
AGAGUUUGAUCAUGGCUCAGGAUAAACGCUGGCGGCGUGCUUCAGGCAUGCAAGUCGAACGAGUGGCCACCUUCGGGUGGUCUACUAGUGGCGGACGGGUGAGUAACGCGUUAGCAACCUGCCCAAAAGUGGGGAAUAACUAACCGAAAGGUUAGCUAAUACCGCAUGUGAUAGCUGGUUCUUGGACCGGUUAUGAAAGGCUUCGGCCGCUUUUGGAGGGGCUUGCGUCAGAUUAGCUAGUUGGUGGGGUAAUGGCCUACCAAGGCGACGAUCUGUAGCUGGUCUGUGAGGACGAUCAGCCACACGGGGACUGAGAUACGGCCCCGACUCCUACGGGAGGCAGCAGCUAGGAAUCUUGGGAAUGGGCGAAAGCCUGACCCAGCAACGCCGCGUGGGCGAUGAAGGCCUUCGGGUCGUAAAGCCCUUUUGCAGGGGACGAUGAUGACGGUACCCUGCGAAUAAGCCACGGCUAACUACGUGCCAGCCGCCGCGGUAAUAC